UUCUUCGUAAACUACCGAAAUAUGUUGAAGGAUAAAAUAGGCAGGACUGUGUUGAAAUUGGGGGUAAGAAGGAGAUGAUGGUGACAUUUUGGUGCGACCCCAAAUUGAAAAUCCCCUAAAAUGGAAAUUAAGGCUUCCGCAAAUUCCUUCUGAGUGGCCUUCUAGGCGAGAAAAUUAGGAAUAUCGACAGGUGAAGUAAGCAAUCUUGCAAAUGAAUAAUAUCCGUCGAAGGAAAUGAACUUCGAGGUUGGCAAAUUUACAAAAGGAAAUUGAUUCGAUUUUAAAAGUUUUGUAUUAUAUCAACCAGAUAUGAGUACUAGAAAUAUGUUGCUGUGGAAAAUAAAAUGUGUCUUGGAAUGUACUUAA
Long non-coding RNA from Onthophagus taurus, 366 nucleotides. RefSeq lists it as uncharacterized. The record is from RefSeq and is a predicted model, not a curated record. Lineage: Eukaryota; Metazoa; Arthropoda; Insecta; Coleoptera; Scarabaeidae.